AUGCACGCUGGCGGCGUGCCUAAUACCUGCAAGUAGAACGCUGAAGGAGGAGCUUGCUCUUCUGGAUGAGUUGCGAACAGGUGAGUAACGCGUAGGUAACCUGCCUGGUAGCGGGGGAUAACUAUUGGAAACGAUAGCUAAUACCGCAUGACAACAGUUAUUGCAUGAUAACUGUUUAAAAGGGGCAACUGCUCCACUACCAGAUGGACCUGCGUUGUAUUAGCUAGUUGGUGAGGUAACGGCUCACCAAGGCGACGAUACAUAGCCGACCUGAGAGGGUGAUCGGCCACACUGGGACUGAGACACGGCCCAGACUCCUACGGGAGGCAGCAGUAGGGAAUCUUCGGCAAUGGACGGAAGUCUGACCGAGCAACGCCGCGUGAGUGAAGAAGGUUUUCGGAUCGUAAAGCUCGGUUGUAAGAGAAGAACGAGUGUGAGAGUGGAAAGUUCACACUGUGACGGUAUCUUACCAGAAAGGGACGGCUAACUACGUG
RNAcentral lists this ribosomal RNA (494 nucleotides) under uncultured bacterium. RNAcentral's name for it is "partial 16S ribosomal RNA". It matches the Rfam family "Bacterial small subunit ribosomal RNA", at positions 29 to 507 of the family's 1533-position model. The record is from RNAcentral.